RNAcentral lists this small nuclear RNA (23 nucleotides) under Arabidopsis thaliana (thale cress). RNAcentral's name for it is "snRNA_15146". The record is from RNAcentral. Lineage: Eukaryota; Viridiplantae; Streptophyta; Magnoliopsida; Brassicales; Brassicaceae.
UUGCACAUCUUCACGCUACUAAU